RNAcentral lists this ribosomal RNA (465 nucleotides) under uncultured bacterium. RNAcentral's name for it is "partial 16S ribosomal RNA". It matches the Rfam family "Bacterial small subunit ribosomal RNA", at positions 28 to 507 of the family's 1533-position model. The record is from RNAcentral.
GACGAACGCUGGCGGCGUGCUUAACACAUGCAAGUCGUACGAUAAGUUCCUUUCGGGGGGACCCGAGUUGCGAACGGGUGAGUAACACGUGAUUAACCUGCCCACAACUUCUGGAAACCGCUAGUAAUAUCGGGUUAAUACUGAAUAUGUACUCUUGCUCCCCGGAGGGUGUUGGAACGUUCCGGGGGUUGUGGAUGGAGGUGGGGCCCUGCCGCGCGUUGGAGGGGUAGUGGCUUACCGAGGCUGCGCCGGGGAGCCGGCCUGAGAGGGUGACCGGCCACAUUGGGACUGAGAUACGGCCCAGACUCCUACGGGAGGCAGCAGUGGGGAAUAUUGCACAAUGGGCGCAAGCCGGAUGCAGCAACGCCGCGUGCGGGAUGACGGCCUUCGGGUUGUAAACCGCAUUCAGCAGGGACGAAGCUUUUUGUGACGGUACCUGCAGAAGAAGCACCGGCUAACUACGUG